Medicago truncatula (barrel medic) is the source of this 462-nucleotide long non-coding RNA. RefSeq lists it as uncharacterized. NCBI's taxonomy places the organism in Eukaryota, Viridiplantae, Streptophyta, Magnoliopsida, Fabales, Fabaceae. The transcript is spliced from 2 exons. The record is from RefSeq and is a predicted model, not a curated record.
CGCCCUUCCUCUCCACUACUUAAGCACGACCCUUCCUUCCCUCAGGCUCUUCUAACAAAUUUCCAACUUCAAUUCCUCUUCGGCUCUUUUACCGUCGCUGCCCGUUCCGCUUUCAAUCUACCCAAUCAACAUUGCCAUAGCUGAGGGGAGCAGCAGGGGAAGAAGGAUAUGCGGAAGAAGGAUAUGUCGGUCACCAGGAUCAAUGUCAACUGCGGACCUUGGAUCUUCUCAACUUUAAUUUUGCACUUCACCGACUCUCUUGAGUUCAUCAUUGUGGAGUUUGUAGCAAUUUUGUUAUUGCUCUUGGUUUCCAUAUUUGCAGAAUGUACAUGGCCGCUCCAUCCCAUUCCACCCCCUAAAAGAGAGGUGGAUUUUCCAUAUAACAUGGGAGUUAGAGGGUCUCUCUUAUUGACACUAGCUGUCUAUUUUGCAUAAUAAAAUAUAAUAAAAAUUAUUUGUUUA